UAUUGACCUCAAAAACACAGGCCUGGUUUCACAGACAGGGCUUAGAAUAAGCCAGGAUUAGGCCUUAGUUCAAUUAAGACAUUUAAGUAGCUUAGAAAAAAACACUACUGGUGUGCAUCUUGAGACAAAACGAUAGCACUGUCAUAUUUGUCAGAUAUGUCAGUGCAAGUUGCUUUCAGUUAAAACAACUCAAACAUGUGUUUUAGUCUGGGUUAGACUUGAGCCUUAUCUGUGAAACCAGGGGCAAGUUAAUUAAAUUAAACUUCAGCAUAUAAAUUGUCCUGCACCAUUUGUGCUACAUACAUGGAUGAUAUUUUAAGUAGACAUUUAUAAAUGCUAGUACAUUAUUUGUACUAUAGAAUAGAGUUUGUUGCAUGUAAAUAUCCUUUAAGUCCUGUAAUGUUUUGAGUAGAGCAGAAAAAACCCCAAAAAAAAACAUUGGCUAACUUUGGUUUUAGUUCCCGGUUCAAGCUUACUAUCUAUUCUCAUACUAUCUCUCUAUGUGUCUCAAGAGCAAACAAUAGUAAUGGUUUGGGUUUCCCACUCUUUUCAUAAGCUGGACCUGCCAGUCACACCUCUUUUUCCCCUGAUUCAAAGAUUCAGCUGAUUAUAAAGCAGACUUUAUAUAUGAAAUGCCUACAAAAACAGUGACCUUUUUCAGUCCUUCGCUCAUUACUGAGAAAGGAAUGCUUUCACAAGGUGUUUUAACAAAACCCUUCUUCUGUUUGUAACAUAAUUUUAGACACACCAUAGCAGUUGGCUUAAAGGAUUAGUUCACUUUCAAAUAAAAAUUUCCUGAUAAUUUACUCACCCCCAUGUCAUCCAAGAUGCCCAUGUCCUUCUUUCUUCAGUCGAAAAGAAAUGAAGGUUUUUGACGAAAACAUUCCAGGACUUUUCUCCUUAUAGUGGACUUCAAUUGGCCCCAAACGGUUGAAGGUCAAAAUUACAGUUUCAGUGCAGCUUCAAAGGGCUUUAAACGAUACCAGACGAUGAAUAAGGGUCUUAUCUAGCGAAACGAUCGGUCGUUUUCUAAAAAAAAAAAAAGAAAAAAAAAAAGAAAAAUGUAUAUGCUUUGUAAACACAAAUGAUCACCUCGCAAGUGCUUCCGCCAGACCACCUUCCGUAUUCUUUAAAAAGCUUACGCUGUAUGUCCGGCCCUAUUCAUCUUACGGAAAAAACGAAACUGGCGCCGCGUUCGUUCUGUAAGUUGCGUAAGUCCACUAUAAGGAGAAUAAUCCUGGAAUGUUUUCAUCAAAAACCUUAAUUUCUUUUCGACUAAAGAAAGAAGGACAUGGACAUCUUGGGGGUGACAUGAGGGUGAGUAAAUUAUCAGGAAAUUUUUAUUUGAAAGUGAACUAAUCCUUUAAACUGUUAGUCAUGUGAUUUUUGUGCCAAGGGUUUUAUUGCAGUGUAAAUGUUAUUUUAUUUUGUUAUACAUUUUAACCACUGAGUAAGAAAUUACUAAUUGACGAACCGUAAACAAAGCAGCGUUUUGAAUAUCUAUCAUGAUCACUUUCUUCAUUCUGAGUUGCUCAUGUUAAAUAUUGAAAAUAUUUGCGGAUUGGAAUGCUCAGUGCUGACGAAUGGCCAAGCCCUGUUUCUUCUGUCUUCAGAUUGAGCAGGUACAUGAGUGUCAAAUUUAGUGAAA
Ctenopharyngodon idella (grass carp) is the source of this 1648-nucleotide long non-coding RNA. RefSeq lists it as uncharacterized. Lineage: Eukaryota; Metazoa; Chordata; Actinopteri; Cypriniformes; Xenocyprididae. The record is from RefSeq and is a predicted model, not a curated record. The transcript is spliced from 2 exons.